AUUGAACGCUGGCGGAAUGCUUUACACAUGCAAGUCGAACGGCAGCACGGGGGCAACCCUGGUGGCGAGUGGCGAACGGGUGAGUAAUACAUCGGAACGUGCCCAGUCGUGGGGGAUAACGUAGCGAAAGUUACGCUAAUACCGCAUACGAUCUACGGACGAAAGCGGGGGACCGUAAGGCCUCGCGCGAUUGGAGCGGCCGAGUUCAGAUUAGGUAGUUGGUGAGGUAAAGGCUCACCAAGCCGACGAUCUGUAGCUGGUCUGAGAGGACGACCAGCCACACUGGGACUGAGACACGGCCCAGACUCCUACGGGAGGCAGCAGUGGGGAAUUUUGGACAAUGGGCGCAAGCCUGAUCCAGCCAUUCCGCGUGCAGGACGAAGGCCUUCGGGUUGUAAACUGCUUUUGUACGGAACGAAAAGGCUCUGGUUAAUACCUGGGGCUCAUGACGGUACCGUAAGAAUAAGCACCGGCUAACUACGUGCCAGCAGCAGCCGCAG
Molecule: ribosomal RNA, 500 nt
Filed under: uncultured bacterium
Lineage: Bacteria
Description: partial 16S ribosomal RNA
Rfam family: Bacterial small subunit ribosomal RNA
Source: RNAcentral